Small nuclear RNA from Vombatus ursinus (common wombat), 107 nucleotides. The record is from Ensembl. NCBI's taxonomy places the organism in Eukaryota, Metazoa, Chordata, Mammalia, Diprotodontia, Vombatidae.
GUGCUUGCUUUGGCAGCACAUAUACUAAAAUUGGAAUGAUACAAAGAAGAUUAGCAUGGCCCCUGCACGAGGAUGACGCGCAAAUUCAUGAAGCAUCUCAUAUUUAA